This 84-nucleotide transfer RNA is filed under the name Arabidopsis lyrata subsp. lyrata. Its description in RNAcentral is "tRNA tRNA-Leu". It matches the Rfam family "tRNA". From Rfam's summary of the family: Transfer RNA (tRNA) molecules are approximately 80 nucleotides in length. The record is from Rfam by way of RNAcentral. Lineage: Eukaryota; Viridiplantae; Streptophyta; Magnoliopsida; Brassicales; Brassicaceae.
GUCAGGAUGGCCGAGUGGUCUAAGGCGCCAGAUUCAAGUUCUGGUCUUCGUAAGAGGGCGUGGGUUCAAAUCCCACUUCUGACA